RNAcentral lists this microRNA precursor (75 nucleotides) under Rhodnius prolixus. RNAcentral's name for it is "mir-10 microRNA precursor family". It matches the Rfam family "mir-10 microRNA precursor family". Rfam says of the family: In this case the mature sequence comes from the 5' arm of the precursor. The extents of the hairpin precursors are not generally known and are estimated based on hairpin prediction. The products are thought to have regulatory roles through complementarity to mRNA. Lineage: Eukaryota; Metazoa; Arthropoda; Insecta; Hemiptera; Reduviidae. The record is from Rfam by way of RNAcentral.
CGUGAUCUACCCUGUAGAUCCGGGCUUUUGUGGAUCGAUAAGAGUCAGAAGCUCGUCUCUACAGGUAUCUUACGG